UAAUUUUGAUCAAAAUCCAAAUACAGACAGUCUAUCAAGCUUGAAUAUUGUGUCCAAACAUGCACCAACUGGUCAGUCAAAUAACAAGGCUGCGCUGCACACAUCAUUUUCUUAAUCAUAUUAAUCUGACAUGUUAAAGUUUGUACAUUAUGAAGUUACUAACCUGUUGAUUUUGUGUAUUUCAGAUUAUUAUUGAAAAAAGAGCACUUUGAAGUACUAGGAGAAUUUGAAAACAUCUUGGUGAAAUAGUCUGACUGAUUAUGACAGAACAUCAAAAGAAAUGACGAAAAAUUACACAUCUUAUCAAAAUAGUACUACUAGAAACUAAAAGCUACUUGCAAUUUUCACUGGUUUUGAGAUCAGUAACAGUCUGACAAGGAAAGAAUUUAAUGAACAUGAUUAUGAUGCCUCUUGAUAAAUAUAAAAACAUAUUGACUGUAAAAUAAUUACCAGUUACCAAUUAUAUCUGUUGUUUACAAAAUUUGUUAUUUGGAAAUAUCUGUUGAAUGUUUUGAAAUUAAAAUGUGUUAACUUAAAUGAUUUAAGAAUUGAAGUCUUUAAAUGAUACAAAAGCAAGGAUACAUGGAAUGAUUGCAAUUGAGACAACUACUAGCCCAUUAUAAUAUGGCACUGAUGUAAACAAGUACAGGUCACCUGAAGUCUUCAACAAUAAGCAAAAGCCUUAAUUUAAAGAUUGUUAUACAUGGGCUUAUUAAGUCCCAAGAUAAUGGUAUCUACAUCAUUUGCUGUCAAAUUUUUGUUGUAUGUUUCUGAUGAAGGUUAAUUAAAAUAAGCCCAGCAC
RNAcentral lists this long non-coding RNA (802 nucleotides) under Mytilus galloprovincialis (Mediterranean mussel). Lineage: Eukaryota; Metazoa; Mollusca; Bivalvia; Mytilida; Mytilidae. The record is from RNAcentral.